RNAcentral lists this ribosomal RNA (394 nucleotides) under uncultured bacterium. RNAcentral describes it as "bacterial SSU rRNA". It matches the Rfam family "Bacterial small subunit ribosomal RNA", at positions 505 to 898 of the family's 1533-position model. The record is from RNAcentral.
GUGCCAGCAGCCGCGGUAAUACGUAGGUGGCAAGCGUUGUCCGGAAUUAUUGGGCGUAAAGCGCGCGCAGGCGGGAUGGUAAGUCUAACUUAAAAGUGCGGGGCUCAACCCCGUGAGGGGUUAGAAACUACCAUUCUUGAGUACAGGAGAGGAAAGUGGAAUUCCCAGUGUAGCGGUGAAAUGCGUAGAUAUUGGGAGGAACACCAGUGGCGAAGGCGACUUUCUGGACUGUGUCUGACGCUGAGGCGCGAAAGCCAGGGGAGUGAACGGGAUUAGAUACCCCGGUAAUCCUGGCCGUAAACGAUGGGUACUAGGUGUAGGAGGUAUCGACCCCUUCUGUGCCGGAGUUAACGCAAUAAGUACCCCGCCUGGGGAGUACGGCCGCAAGGUUGAA